GAUGAACGCUGGCGGCGUGCCUAAUACAUGCAAGUCGAGCGAACAGAUGAGGAGCUUGCUCCUCUGACGUUAGCGGCGGACGGGUGAGUAACACGUGGAUAACCUACCUAUAAGACUGGGAUAACUUCGGGAAACCGGAGCUAAUACCGGAUAAUAUAUUGAACCGCAUGGUUCAAUAGUGAAAGACGGUUUUGCUGUCACUUUUAGAUGGAUCCGCGCCGCAUUAGCUAGUUGGUAAGGUAACGGCUUACCAAGGCAACGAUGCGUAGCUGACCUGAGAGGGUGAUCGGCCACACUGGAACUGAGACACGGUCCAGACUCCUACGGGAGGCAGCAGUAGGGAAUCUUCCACAAUGGGCGAAAGCCUGACGGAGCAACGCCGCGUGAGUGAUGAAGGUCUUCGGAUCGUAAAACUCUGUUAUUAGGGAAGAACAAAUGUGUAAGUAACUAUGCACGUCUUGACGGUACCUAAUCAGAAAGCCACGGCUAACUACGUG
Molecule: ribosomal RNA, 497 nt
Filed under: uncultured bacterium
Lineage: Bacteria
Description: partial 16S ribosomal RNA
Rfam family: Bacterial small subunit ribosomal RNA
Source: RNAcentral